GGGGAGUUGUCCGAGUGGCUUAAGGUGCGGCUCUCGAAAAGCCGUGUACUUUUAACGAAGUACCGUGGGUUCAAAUCCCAUGCUCCCCG
RNAcentral lists this transfer RNA (89 nucleotides) under Eubacterium oxidoreducens. It matches the Rfam family "tRNA". Rfam says of the family: Transfer RNA (tRNA) molecules are approximately 80 nucleotides in length. Their secondary structure includes four short double-helical elements and three loops (D, anti-codon, and T loops). Lineage: Bacteria; Bacillati; Bacillota; Clostridia; Eubacteriales; Eubacteriaceae. The record is from Rfam by way of RNAcentral.